RNAcentral lists this ribosomal RNA (403 nucleotides) under Sulfitobacter sp. R4-Chit-T4-20. RNAcentral describes it as "bacterial SSU rRNA". It matches the Rfam family "Bacterial small subunit ribosomal RNA", at positions 29 to 459 of the family's 1533-position model. Lineage: Bacteria; Pseudomonadati; Pseudomonadota; Alphaproteobacteria; Rhodobacterales; Roseobacteraceae. The record is from RNAcentral.
AACGAACGCUGGCGGCAGGCCUAACACAUGCAAGUCGAGCGAGACCUUCGGGUCUAGCGGCGGACGGGUUAGUAACGCGUGGGAACGUGCCCUUCUCUGCGGAAUAGCCACUGGAAACGGUGAGUAAUACCGCAUACGCCCUUCGGGGGAAAGAUUUAUCGGAGAAGGAUCGGCCCGCGUUAGAUUAGAUAGUUGGUGGGGUAACGGCCUACCAAGUCUACGAUCUAUAGCUGGUUUUAGAGGAUGAUCAGCAACACUGGGACUGAGACACGGCCCAGACUCCUACGGGAGGCAGCAGUGGGGAAUCUUAGACAAUGGGCGCAAGCCUGAUCUAGCCAUGCCGCGUGUGUGAUGAAGGUCUUAGGAUCGUAAAGCACUUUCGCCAGGGAUGAUAAUGACAGUA